AGUUGGUCCGAGGGUUGUGGGUUAUUGUUAAGUUGUUUAACAGUGUCUCCCCCCGACAACCAUACUUGACUGGCUUUGCCUUUU
This is a non-coding RNA of Felis catus (domestic cat), 84 nucleotides long. NCBI's taxonomy places the organism in Eukaryota, Metazoa, Chordata, Mammalia, Carnivora, Felidae. The record is from Rfam.